GGAGGCGGUGGCGCGGGCGGCCCGGGAGCUGGUCGCGGACACCUUGCGACCGUCUGAGGGCGCCGUGGGAGCGC
Molecule: transfer RNA, 74 nt
Filed under: Streptomyces mutabilis
Lineage: Bacteria; Bacillati; Actinomycetota; Actinomycetes; Kitasatosporales; Streptomycetaceae
Source: RNAcentral